Molecule: ribosomal RNA, 267 nt
Filed under: Fusarium falciforme
Lineage: Eukaryota; Fungi; Ascomycota; Sordariomycetes; Hypocreales; Nectriaceae
Description: partial large subunit ribosomal RNA
Rfam family: Eukaryotic large subunit ribosomal RNA
Source: RNAcentral
GGAUGCUUUUGGUGAGGUGCCUUCCGAGUUCCCUGGAACGGGACGCCAUAGAGCGUGAGAGCCCCGUCUGGCUGGACACCGAUCCUCUGUAAAGCUCCUUCGACGAGUCGAGUAGUUUGGGAAUGCUGCUCUAAAUGGGAGGUAUAUGUCUUCUAAAGCUAAAUACCGGCCAGAGACCGAUAGCGCACAAGUAGAGUGAUCGAAAGAUGAAAAGAACUUUGAAAAGAGAGUUAAAAAGUACGUGAAAUUGUUGAAAGGGAAGCGCUU